RNAcentral lists this ribosomal RNA (612 nucleotides) under Antennaria crassicornis. Its description in RNAcentral is "partial 16S ribosomal RNA". It matches the Rfam family "Bacterial large subunit ribosomal RNA", at positions 1844 to 2733 of the family's 2925-position model. The record is from RNAcentral. Lineage: Eukaryota; Metazoa; Arthropoda; Insecta; Coleoptera; Carabidae.
UUUAAGGUCUAACCUGCCCAAUGAGGGUUUAAAUGGCCGCAGUAUUUUGACUGUGCAAAGGUAGCAUAAUUAUUAGUUUUUUAAUUGAAAGCUUGUAUGAAGGGUUGGACGAGAUAAAAUCUGUCUCUAUUUAAAUUAAAAUAUAAUUUAACUUUUGAGUCAAAAGGCUUAAAUUUUUAUAAAAGACGAGAAGACCCUAUAGAUCUUUAUUAAGUUAAGAUUUUAAUAAUUUAGGAUUAUUUUAAUUUAAAUUUUUAAUUUAAUUUUAUUGGGGUAAUAUAAAGAUUAAAUAAAUUCUUUUUAUUAAUAACAUUGAUUUAUGAAUAUAUGAUCCAUUAUUAGUGAUUAAAAGAUUAAGUUACCUUAGGGAUAACAGCGUAAUUUUUUUGGAGAGCCCAUAUCGAUAAAAAAGUUUGCGACCUCGAUGUUGGAUUAAAAGUUAGCUUGGGUGCAGAAGCUCAGGAUUUUGGUCUGUUCGACCAUUAAACUUUUACAUGAUCUGAGUUCAGACCGGCGUAAGCCAGGUCGGUUUCUAUCUUUAUUUAAAUAAAAUAUUUUAGUACGAAAGGACCAAGUAUUUAAUAUAAUUAUAUUUAGUUUUUGAAUAAUAAU